CCGAUCUCCGAUAGACAAGCACUUGAGCGCCAGAUUAGUAGUUGGGUCGGUGACGACCAGCGAACACCGGGUGCUGUACGUU
Molecule: ribosomal RNA, 82 nt
Filed under: Beauveria bassiana D1-5
Lineage: Eukaryota; Fungi; Ascomycota; Sordariomycetes; Hypocreales; Cordycipitaceae
Source: RNAcentral